Molecule: ribosomal RNA, 419 nt
Filed under: uncultured Proteiniclasticum sp.
Lineage: Bacteria; Bacillati; Bacillota; Clostridia; Eubacteriales; Clostridiaceae
Description: bacterial SSU rRNA
Rfam family: Bacterial small subunit ribosomal RNA
Source: RNAcentral
CCUACGGGAGGCAGCAGUGGGGAAUAUCGCACAAUGGGCGAAAGCCUGAUGCAGCAACGCCGCGUGAGUGAUGAAGGCUUUCGAGUCGUAAAGCUCUUUGAUCAGGGAUGAUAAUGACAGUACCUGAAAAACAAGCCACGGCUAACUACGUGCCAGCAGCCGCGGUAAUACGUAGGUGGCGAGCGUUGUCCGGAAUUACUGGGCGUAAAGGAUGCGUAGGUGGAUAUUUAAGUGGGAUGUGAAAUCCCCGGGCUCAACCCGGGAACUGCAUUCCAAACUGGAUAUCUAGAGUGCAGGAGAGGAAAGCGGAAUUCCUAGUGUAGCGGUGAAAUGCGUAGAUAUUAGGAGGAACACCAGUGGCGAAGGCGGCUUCCUGGACUGUACCUGACGCUGAUGAGCGAAAGCUGGGGGAGCAAACA